UCUUAACAACUACCUUGUUUUGGAAGGAAGAGGAAAUGGAAGAGAUGCUUUGGAAGUAAAAGCUUUCAACGACAUCACCCAGAUGAUAUUUCAAAGGCCAGCUCUUUUUACAGUAAACCAGGAUGCAGCUGAUUAAACAGACUCCAGUAAGAAUUCUUAGUGUUGAUCAAACAAGUCCACAGCUAUACCCAUCUAGAGUGGGAAUCAUCUUGGAAGAAAACUUUGUAAAGGUUGAACCGACCGAUCUCAGGCCUUCUAUGUCCAUUUUAGACUGAUUUAUGCCCUGCACCUGGACUGUGUUUGAAAAGCACUUUAUUUUUUAUUCAGCAGGUAAUGCUCAA
Long non-coding RNA from Cyprinus carpio (common carp), 341 nucleotides. RefSeq lists it as uncharacterized. The record is from RefSeq and is a predicted model, not a curated record. The transcript has 3 exons. Lineage: Eukaryota; Metazoa; Chordata; Actinopteri; Cypriniformes; Cyprinidae.